RNAcentral lists this ribosomal RNA (502 nucleotides) under uncultured Butyricicoccus sp. RNAcentral describes it as "bacterial SSU rRNA". It matches the Rfam family "Bacterial small subunit ribosomal RNA", at positions 8 to 507 of the family's 1533-position model. Lineage: Bacteria; Bacillati; Bacillota; Clostridia; Eubacteriales; Butyricicoccaceae. The record is from RNAcentral.
AGAGUUUGAUCCUGGCUCAGGAUGAACGCUGGCGGCGUGCCUAACACAUGCAAGUCGAACGGGGUUAUUUUAGGAAAUUUCCUUCGGGGAAUGGAAUCUUUAACCUAGUGGCGGACGGGUGAGUAACGCGUGAGCAAUCUGCCUUCGGAUGGGGGAUAACAGCCGGAAACGGCUGCUAAUACCGCAUAACACAUGGGAUUCGCAUGUUUCCCAUGUCAAAGAUUUAUCGUCCGGAGAUGAGCUCGCGUCUGAUUAGCUGGUUGGCGGGGUAACGGCCCACCAAGGCGACGAUCAGUAGCCGGACUGAGAGGUUGAACGGCCACAUUGGGACUGAGACACGGCCCAGACUCCUACGGGAGGCAGCAGUGGGGAAUAUUGCGCAAUGGGGGCAGCCCUGACGCAGCAACGCCGCGUGAUUGAAGAAGGCCUUCGGGUUGUAAAGAUCUUUAAUCGGGGACGAAUUUUGACGGUACCCGAAGAAUAAGCUCCGGCUAACUACGUG